GCGGUUAUGUAAGUUGGAUGUGAAAGUCCCCGGGCUUAACCUGGGCACUGCAUUCAAAACUGCAUAGCUAGAGUAUGGGAGAGGAAGGUAGAAUUCCAGGUGUAGCGGUGAAAUGCGUAGAGAUCUGGAGGAAUACCGAUGGCGAAGGCAGCCUUCUGGCCUAAUACUGACGCUGAGGUGCGAAAGCAUGGGGAGCAAACAGGAUUAGAUACCCUGGUAGUCCAUGCCGUAAACGAUGUCAACUAGCCGUUGGGGACCUUGAGUCCUUAGUGGCGCAGCUAACGCGAUAAGUUGACCACCUGGGGAGUACGGUCGCAAGACUAAAACUCAAAUGAAUUGACGGGGGCCCGCACAAGCGGUGGAGCAUGUGGUUUAAUUCGAUGCAACGCGAAGAACCUUACCUAGCCUUGACAUGUCUGGAAUCUUGUAGAGAUACGAGAGUGCCUUCGGGAAUCAGAACACAGGUGCUGCAUGGCUGUCGUCAGCUCGUGUCGUGAGAUGUUGGGUUAAGUCCCGCAACGAGCGCAACCCUUUUCCUUAUUUGCCAGCACUUCGGGUGGGAACUCUAAGGAUACUGCCAGUGACAAACUGGAGGAAGGCGGGGACGACGUCAAGUCAUCAUGGCCCUUACGGCUAGGGCUACACACGUGCUACAAUGGUCGGUACAAAGGGUCGCUAACCCGCGAGGGCAUGCCAAUCUCAAAAAGCCGAUCGUAGUCCAGAUUGGAGUCUGCAACUCGACUCCAUGAAGUCGGAAUCGUCUAGUAAUCGCGGAUCAGA
RNAcentral lists this ribosomal RNA (780 nucleotides) under uncultured bacterium. RNAcentral's name for it is "bacterial SSU rRNA". It matches the Rfam family "Bacterial small subunit ribosomal RNA", at positions 575 to 1353 of the family's 1533-position model. The record is from RNAcentral.